AGCAGUAGCCGCGGUAAUGCGAAGGGUGCAAGCGUUACACGGAAUUACUGGGCGUAAAGCGUGCGUAGGUGGUGGUUUAAGUCCGUUGUGAAAGCCCUGGGCUCAACCUGGGAAUUGCAGUGGAUACUGGGUCACUAGAGUGUGGUAGAGGAUAGUGGAAUUUCCGGUGUAGCAGUGAAAUGCGUAGAGAUCUGGAGGAAUACCGGUGGCGAAGGCAGCCCCCUGGGCCAACACUGACGCUCAUGCACGAAAGCGUGGGGAGCAAACGGGAUUAGAGACCCGUGUAGUCCCUGUCUCUUAUAC
Molecule: ribosomal RNA, 303 nt
Filed under: uncultured bacterium
Lineage: Bacteria
Description: partial 16S ribosomal RNA
Rfam family: Bacterial small subunit ribosomal RNA
Source: RNAcentral